This 436-nucleotide ribosomal RNA is filed under the name uncultured bacterium. Its description in RNAcentral is "bacterial SSU rRNA". It matches the Rfam family "Bacterial small subunit ribosomal RNA", at positions 958 to 1392 of the family's 1533-position model. The record is from RNAcentral.
AACGCGAAGAACCUUACCAAGGCUUGACAUGGGCCGGACCGGGCUGGAAACAGUCCUUCCCCUUUGGGGCCGGUUCACAGGUGGUGCAUGGUUGUCGUCAGCUCGUGUCGUGAGAUGUUGGGUUAAGUCCCGCAACGAGCGCAACCCUCGUUCCAUGUUGCCAGCGCGUAAUGGCGGGGACUCAUGGGAGACUGCCGGGGUCAACUCGGAGGAAGGUGGGGACGACGUCAAAUCAUCAUGCCCCUUAUGUCUUGGGCUUCACGCAUGCUACAAUGGCCGGUACAAAGGGUUGCGAUACUGUGAGGUGGAGCUAAUCCCAAAAAGCCGGUCUCAGUUCGGAUUGGGGUCUGCAACUCGACCCCAUGAAGUCGGAGUCGCUAGUAAUCGCAGAUCAGCAACGCUGCGGUGAAUACGUUCCCGGGUCUUGUACACACCG